AAAUGUCACCUGCCCCUUUAAGGGCGGAAUUUUACGGUGGUAAUGUGACUCGAGUCAUGUUUGUGCCUGUGAGAUUGAAUAGUAUGGUGUUGCUUCUCUUACCUAGCAGUUGAAACUCAAACUUGAAAAACAACUUAGCUUGUGAACGAAACAAAGUCUCAUUUCAGUAGACCUCCGUUUUCAAGGAAAUUAAAGACUUUUAUGCCUGUGUGCAGCGCUUCUAAAAAUGAAUCUGUCACUCAGAUCUUCACGUGCGCACGCACAGCCCCCAGCCAGGCGGUGUUGCAGCGCGAGGCAGAAAUACUUCUUCAGGUCAGGGAGAUAUAACCAUAUUCUCUAGAAUGCCAUGGCAUACAGACAAUGCAAAUGCUACAGCAACUCCAGGCACACGGAACCUCAGCUCUGGUCCGGCGGGCCGCAGACAGGCUGGGAGAGAGUCAAAUGUGCAUAUUAAUAGGCUUGUUUGUCCAACAUUGGAAUGAUAUUCUAAUAUUAUACAUUUCCAUUACCUAAAUAAUUACAUAUGUGAUGCCUGGCCAGCCAUAUCAUUGUUUGAAACCUGGACAUUUUACAAAGCCUAGCUUACCUUGAUUUUAAUGGCCUACAGCCAAAAUGUGACUAGAAAAAAAGCUUUCCUGAUAUGCCAUUGAAACCAGCAUUAUUCCUCCUACUGUCCGAAGGCAGUAAGGCACAAUCCUAUUGUUGCAUCUUUAGAUAUUUCCUCUUUCUAAGAUAGCAUUUUGGAACAUUCAGGUGUAUGGCUGAGAUGAGUGAACACAUUACUGCGCAUGUAAUGUGAAUAAUUCGUAGUUUAUCAACUUUUAAGCUAAAUGUUGUGAUCUGUUUCAUCAGCCUCGUCUUUGUUAAAAUAUUUUGUAUGCAUUUUAUAUUUUUCUGGCCUAUCGUCCCGCAACUGUCCCAGCGUCUGUUAUGAACCGUCCCAGACACAUUUUUUUAUCGUCCGACGGGACGCCCUUAAUUUCGAGCCCUGAGUGUGCCUUCUCAGCAUAUCUAGUCUGUUUAAACAUUCAUCCACGUAUGCACGAAACACACAGUCACACACACUCCAGACGAGACAGUUAUCACUUGAAUGUCAAUGGAUCAAUGAGAAACGGGGAGGAGUAGCAGUGGAAGCUGGGAUAGAACACCAGUUCUCACCUCACUCAAAGUACCAUUACACUGGGAUGAUAACUAAUGAUGGAGGAGAAAAUCCAUGUAGUUAAAUCUCAAUAUUAUUUUGGAUGAAAUUAUAUCGAUACUUUGACUUUUUUGCUAGAUAGCGUUAGCUAGCGCUACUCGGCUGCACCUGUGCCAAAACACUGGUAUUUGUCAUCCUAUAGCUUGUUCUCCAUCUUUUUAAAUAGUGAGCCAAGUUGCUUUCAGGACAUUCAUUUUUAUGACUUAUUUUAUCAUGCUCGCUUGUCUUUCUUUCCCCCUCACCUUUAUUUAACUAGGUAGGCCAGUUGAGAACAAGUUCUCAUUUACAACUGCGACCUGGCCGCUUGUCUCGGCAGCAGACAUGUAGUGAGAAAUAUGUUUGGAACAUCGAAUCGCAAUACAUAUCAUAUCAUGAGGUCCCUGGCAAUUCCCAGCCUUACUGCAAACACCCAGCCGUCUGGGAGUCAGCCUAGCGUACUAGCUUUCCAAUCAAUAGUUUCUAAUUGGAUUCAUAGUUGACAUUGUCACAAGGUUGACUUGGCUUAGCUCAAGCUAUUGUUAUUUUUGUUUUGUCUUCUCUUCUCUAAUCUUGUCAGUACAAACAUUGGUGACAGAGUCCAGUGAUAUACUGUGUGAAGUAGCAUGUACCUAUGUUUUUAAUGAAGGCAGCGAAUGAGUGUGUACAGCGCAGGGCACUGCCACUUGAGUGAGGGACUCUUCAGUGAAAAACUGCCCCCGCAACUCUGUCUCCCUCAAUCUCGCUCGCGCUCUCAUUCACCCACUCACCCCCCCCCCCCUUUUCUGUCUCCCUCUGUCGAUUUGACCCUGCGUGUUUUGAUGAGCAUGGAGUGGAGAUGUGUGUGACAGAGAGAGAUUUGAAACGGGACGCUCCAUUUGUUGUGUAAAUGCAUCACUCCAUUAAUUGACUGCUCUGCUCCCUGCUUCUCCUUCAGCGGCUGAACCCUGCGCUCCGUGGGGUCCCAGAGAUCCUGCCCCUGUUGUGUGUGGGUGGGGGCUCUUCACUCACUCACUCACUCACUGAUGGCAACUUGCCAGGGGAAAGAUGGGCACCACUCACUGCUCCCCUUUCUUACUUUCUUUUUCUGGCUCUCUCUCUGGUCUUGUGAAAGCUAGAGAAGAGAGCUGCCAGUAUUUCCAUCUACGAUCUAAUUAAAUGUACUUUGUCUGGUAUAUUUGAAAAUAAGAUACAACUUUUGGGAGGCCUCCUUCAGCAACUUAAUCCGGAUGGACACUACACGACUUCCAAAAUCCUAACAUCUCUGAGCCUGUCACAUUAAACGACUAUCUUUCCUGUAGUUUUUUGUUUUGCCAACAUAGUGGUGCACCCACAAAAUGAUCUGUCACAGACAGGCUGUACGAUUCUUUAUUUGGUUGUGAGGAUUCUCGAUACCACGCUGUCCCUAGAAACCGCAACGAGAGUUUGUCACGAGCCAGACAGUGGCAAAACAAAGAUGGAGCUAGACAGUGAACAGCAGCUGGCCACACUUGUUGUGUGUGCGGGGAUGUGCACGGAGAAACAAGAAGAAAAGACCGCGAAUUUGGGUGAGGCCAUGGUUGAGGAGACGUGGCCAGUUUGGGUGGUCUGUACUGCAGAGAGAGUUGGAGGUAAAUAAAGCCCAAUCCACACAGCUAGCUAGCCUGCUAAUUUAUGUUUUCAUACAGUGCAUGUAGUAUGUCCUAAUAUCACUCAAAUAACCAAUAACAAGUACAGGUAUUCAAUGUGCCAAAAUCCAUGAAAUUAUUUGGUUAUGGGCCCAUUCUACAGUAUAAAGAAAUAGGUUGCUAUUGUGUUAUGGCUUUAGCACCAAAACAAAUUCCUAGAAAUGAUUGUUGCAUGGCAAUACAAUGAUCUGAUUCUGAUUCAGGACAUUUAGCUUGGGCUACUUUGUGCUCUGCCUUCACCUAUACUUUCCCCCCCACAUAGAGGCAUGAUAGGAUGUGUUUCAGCAAGAUGCUGUGGAUGACCUCCGACAAAUUAGAUUUCCUGCUGGGUAUGGCGGGAUCCCUCAUCAGAAAGGAGGACACCAAGAUGAGACGGGCAAUCACUGUGAAACGUUCAAAGGCCUCAGCUUCCAAUACAGGAUUGGGAACACCACUGUGUCCAAUAUUGUUAUGGAGACAUGUGAAGCCCUGCAUCAGGUCAUGAAAGAAGAAUUCCUGAAGACACCAGCAUCGGAGGCUGAAUGGCGGGCAAUUACCAAAUAUUUCGAAGAGAAAUGGCAGUUUCCGCAUUGCCUUGGUGCCCACGAGUUUUUCAAACAACCCCCUAGCCAACAGUGGCAGUAUGUAUCACAACUACAAGUCUAUGUUGUGGUUCGGUACAUGUCUGUGGGGGAUGAGGCAUACCCCCUAUGGACUGACCUGAUAAAGCCCUAUCCAUUUCGACCACGACCAGAGAAGCCGCAACUACCGCCUCAAGGGCAUGGAGAGUAGUUGAAAAUGCCUUUGGCAUCCUCGCUAACAGGCUGAGGUUGUUUAGGUCCACCAUUUGCCGUGAACUGGACAAGGUUACGAAGAUCACCAUGGCCUUCCUCUGCAUACACAACUUCCUCAUAGAGCGUAGGUCUGAGGUGUACACGCCACCAGCGUUUGCAGACUGGGAGGAUGCUGACCACUGGGUCAUCGAGGGAGCCUGGAGGAGACAUGGACUGGGUGUUCUGCAGUCAGUGGAGCCUGGAAGGGGAUGUUAACCCCACAAUCAGUGCAAAAGAACAACGGAACCUGCUAAGGGAUUAUUUUGUAUCACCUGCAGGUCAGGUUCCAUGGCUGGAGGAUCACAUUUAAGUCAUGGACGCAAGGGCUGUGUUCAUAUUCUGUUGGAAGGCAACCAUGCUUUACUGUGUGUAGCCUAAUGUCUAAGAAUUUAUGUAGUCACCACUAUUGAAUCUUGACUGUCAAAUGUGAUGACAGCUGUACUUCCUUUUUCAAUACAGUAAUUGUAAUAAAGUUAUAUAAAAGGCAUUUUCAGUAACAUGUUUCAAAAAUGUAUUGAAAGUAGUUCCAACCUGCAAAUUACACAUCCUGGUGUACCUACACCACACUCAACUUUCAAACACUCAACUGAAUACACAACGGCACAGCCAUAAAACUAGGUCAACAUUACUU
Molecule: long non-coding RNA, 4284 nt
Organism: Salvelinus namaycush (lake trout)
Lineage: Eukaryota; Metazoa; Chordata; Actinopteri; Salmoniformes; Salmonidae
Exons: 3
Source: RefSeq, a predicted model, not a curated record